This 1667-nucleotide ribosomal RNA is filed under the name Salmonella enterica subsp. enterica. RNAcentral's name for it is "partial 23S ribosomal RNA". It matches the Rfam family "Bacterial large subunit ribosomal RNA", at positions 1292 to 2925 of the family's 2925-position model. The record is from RNAcentral. Lineage: Bacteria; Pseudomonadati; Pseudomonadota; Gammaproteobacteria; Enterobacterales; Enterobacteriaceae.
GAAUGCUGACAUAAGUAACGAUAAAGCGGGUGAAAAGCCCGCUCGCCGGAAGACCAAGGGUUCCUGUCCAACGUUAAUCGGGGCAGGGUGAGUCGACCCCUAAGGCGAGGCCGAAAGGCGUAGUCGAUGGGAAACGGGUUAAUAUUCCCGUACUUGGUGUUACUGCGAAGGGGGGACGGAGAAGGCUAUGUUGGCCGGGCGACGGUUGUCCCGGUUUAAGCGUGUAGGUGUGUGUUCCAGGUAAAUCCGGUUCACUUUAACACUGAGGCGUGACGACGAGGCACUACGGUGCUGAAGCAACAAAUGCCCUGCUUCCAGGAAAAGCCUCUAAGCAUCAGGUAACACGAAAUCGUACCCCAAACCGACACAGGUGGUCAGGUAGAGAAUACCAAGGCGCUUGAGAGAACUCGGGUGAAGGAACUAGGCAAAAUGGUGCCGUAACUUCGGGAGAAGGCACGCUGACACGUAGGUGAAGUGAUUUACUCAUGGAGCUGAAGUCAGUCGAAGAUACCAGCUGGCUGCAACUGUUUAUUAAAAACACAGCACUGUGCAAACACGAAAGUGGACGUAUACGGUGUGACGCCUGCCCGGUGCCGGAAGGUUAAUUGAUGGGGUCAGCGUAAGCGAAGCUCCUGAUCGAAGCCCCGGUAAACGGCGGCCGUAACUAUAACGGUCCUAAGGUAGCGAAAUUCCUUGUCGGGUAAGUUCCGACCUGCACGAAUGGCGUAAUGAUGGCCAGGCUGUCUCCACCCGAGACUCAGUGAAAUUGAACUCGCUGUGAAGAUGCAGUGUACCCGCGGCAAGACGGAAAGACCCCGUGAACCUUUACUAUAGCUUGACACUGAACAUUGAGCCUUGAUGUGUAGGAUAGGUGGGAGGCUUUGAAGUGUGGACGCCAGUCUGCAUGGAGCCGACCUUGAAAUACCACCCUUUAAUGUUUGAUGUUCUAACGUGGACCCGUAAUCCGGGUUGCGGACAGUGUCUGGUGGGUAGUUUGACUGGGGCGGUCUCCUCCUAAAGAGUAACGGAGGAGCACGAAGGUUGGCUAAUCCUGGUCGGACAUCAGGAGGUUAGUGCAAUGGCAUAAGCCAGCUUGACUGCGAGCGUGACGGCGCGAGCAGGUGCGAAAGCAGGUCAUAGUGAUCCGGUGGUUCUGAAUGGAAGGGCCAUCGCUCAACGGAUAAAAGGUACUCCGGGGAUAACAGGCUGAUACCGCCCAAGAGUUCAUAUCGACGGCGGUGUUUGGCACCUCGAUGUCGGCUCAUCACAUCCUGGGGCUGAAGUAGGUCCCAAGGGUAUGGCUGUUCGCCAUUUAAAGUGGUACGCGAGCUGGGUUUAGAACGUCGUGAGACAGUUCGGUCCCUAUCUGCCGUGGGCGCUGGAGAACUGAGGGGGGCUGCUCCUAGUACGAGAGGACCGGAGUGGACGCAUCACUGGUGUUCGGGUUGUCAUGCCAAUGGCACUGCCCGGUAGCUAAAUGCGGAAGAGAUAAGUGCUGAAAGCAUCUAAGCACGAAACUUGCCCCGAGAUGAGUUCUCCCUGAGACUUAGAGUCUCCUGAAGGAACGUUGAAGACGACGACGUUGAUAGGCCGGGUGUGUAAGCGCAGCGAUGCGUUGAGCUAACCGGUACUAAUGAACCGUGAGGCUUAACCUUACAACGCCGAAG